ACACCGUUGGUGAAGUGGUUAUCAUGCUUGCCUUCCAUCUGGGACUGGUCCGUUCAGUGAGCAAGCGGCUCGGGUUCGAUUCCCGAACGGUGUA
Molecule: non-coding RNA, 94 nt
Organism: Marasmius sp. AFHP31
Lineage: Eukaryota; Fungi; Basidiomycota; Agaricomycetes; Agaricales; Marasmiaceae
Source: the annotation of a GenBank genome assembly